AGUGAACGCUGGCGGUAGGCCUAACACAUGCAAGUCGAACGGCAGCACAGUAAGAGCUUGCUCUUACGGGUGGCGAGUGGCGGACGGGUGAGGAAUACAUCGGAAUCUACUUUUUCGUGGGGGAUAACGUAGGGAAACUUACGCUAAUACCGCAUACGACCUACGGGUGAAAGCAGGGGAUCUUCGGACCUUGCGCGAUUGAAUGAGCCGAUGUCGGAUUAGCUAGUUGGCGGGGUAAAGGCCCACCAAGGCGACGAUCCGUAGCUGGUCUGAGAGGAUGAUCAGCCACACUGGAACUGAGACACGGUCCAGACUCAUACGGGAGGCAGCAGUGGGGAAUAUUGGACAAUGGGCGCAAGCCUGAUCCAGCCAUACAGCGUGGGUGAAGAAGGCCUUCGGGUUGUAAAGCCCUUUUGUUGGGAAAGAAAAGCAGCAGGUUAAUACCCCGCUGUUCUGACGGUACCCAAAGAAUAAGCACCGGCUAACUUCGU
RNAcentral lists this ribosomal RNA (491 nucleotides) under uncultured bacterium. RNAcentral's name for it is "partial 16S ribosomal RNA". It matches the Rfam family "Bacterial small subunit ribosomal RNA", at positions 29 to 506 of the family's 1533-position model. The record is from RNAcentral.